Molecule: ribosomal RNA, 245 nt
Filed under: uncultured bacterium
Lineage: Bacteria
Description: partial 16S ribosomal RNA
Rfam family: Bacterial small subunit ribosomal RNA
Source: RNAcentral
GCAAGUCGAACGUUAAAGCAUCUUCGGAUGUUAUUAAAGUGGCGCACGGGUGAGUAACGCGUAGGAAUCUGUCUUGUAGCGGGGGACAACUCGAGGAAACUCGAGCUAAUACCGCAUAAUAGCUGAGGCUGAAAGUAUGGGAUCUUCGGACCAUAUGCUACAAGGUGAGCCUGCGUUAGAUUAGCUUGUUGGUGGGGUAAAGGCCUACCAAGGCGAUGAUCUAUAGCUGGUCUGAGAGGAUGACC